RNAcentral lists this ribosomal RNA (468 nucleotides) under uncultured bacterium. Its description in RNAcentral is "partial 16S ribosomal RNA". It matches the Rfam family "Bacterial small subunit ribosomal RNA", at positions 28 to 507 of the family's 1533-position model. The record is from RNAcentral.
GACGGACGCUGGCGGCGUGCUUAACACAUGCAAGUCGAACGGAAAGGCCCUGCUUUUGUGGGGUGCUCGAGUGGCGAACGGGUGAGUAACACGUGAGUAACCUGCCCUUGACUUUGGGAUAACUUCAGGAAACUGGGGCUAAUACCGGAUAGGAGCUCCUGCUGCAUGGUGGGGGUUGGAAAGUUUCGGCGGUUGGGGAUGGACUCGCGGCUUAUCAGCUUGUUGGUGGGGUAGUGGCUUACCAAGGCUUUGACGGGUAGCCGGCCUGAGAGGGUGACCGGCCACAUUGGGACUGAGAUACGGCCCAGACUCCUACGGGAGGCAGUAGUGGGGAAUAUUGCACAAUGGGCGGAAGCCUGAUGCAGCAACGCCGCGUGCGGGAUGACGGCCUUCGGGUUGUAAACCGCUUUCGCCUGUGACGAAGCGUGAGUGACGGUAAUGGGUAAAGAAGCACCGGCUAACUACGUG